RNAcentral lists this ribosomal RNA (440 nucleotides) under uncultured bacterium. RNAcentral describes it as "partial 16S ribosomal RNA". It matches the Rfam family "Bacterial small subunit ribosomal RNA", at positions 338 to 795 of the family's 1533-position model. The record is from RNAcentral.
CCUACGGGUGGCAGCAGUAGGGAAUAUUGCUCAAUGGGGGAAACCCUGAAGCAGCAACGCCGCGUGGAGGAUGAAGGUGGGAGGAGUGUAAACGCCUUGUGGUAGAGAAGAGUAUGACGGUAUCUAAGGAAUAAGGAGCGGCUAACUCCGUGCCAGCACCCGCGUUAAUCUGGAAGGUGCCAGCGUUACUCGGACUCACUGGGCGUUAAGAGUGCGUAGGCGGGGUAAUAAGUCAGAUGUGAAAUCCUGUAGCUUAACUACAGAACUGCAUUUGAAACUGUUACUCUGGAGUGUGGGAGAGGUAGGUGGAAUUCUUGGUGUAGGGGUAAAAUCCGUAGAGAUCACGAGGAAUACUCAUUGCGAAGGCGACCUGCUGGAACAUUACUGACGCUGAUGCACGAAAGCGUGGGGAGCAAACAGGAUUAGAUACCCUUGUAGUC